AACGAACGCUGGCGGCAGGCUUAACACAUGCAAGUCGAACGAGAUCUUCGGAUCUAGUGGCAGACGGGUGAGGAACACGUGGGAACAUCCCUUUCAGUUCGGAAUAACGUUGGGAAACUAACGCUAAUACCGGAUACGUCCUUCGGGAGAAAGAUUUAUCGCUGAAAGAUUGGCCCGCGUCUGAUUAGCUAGUUGGUGAGGUAAUGGCUCACCAAGGAUACGAUCAGUAGCUGAUCUGAGAGGAUGAUCAGCCACAUUGGGACUGAGACACGGCCCAAACUCCGACGGGAGGCAGCAGUGGGGAAUAUGGGACAAUGGGCGCAAGCCUGAUCCAGCCAUGCCGCGUGAGUGAUGACGGCCUUCGGGUUGUAAAGCUCUUUUGUCCGGGAAGAUAAUGACUGUACCGGAAGAAUAAGCCCCGGCAAACUUCGUGCCAGCCGCCGCAGUAA
This 449-nucleotide ribosomal RNA is filed under the name uncultured bacterium. Its description in RNAcentral is "partial 16S ribosomal RNA". It matches the Rfam family "Bacterial small subunit ribosomal RNA", at positions 29 to 523 of the family's 1533-position model. The record is from RNAcentral.